Molecule: ribosomal RNA, 468 nt
Filed under: uncultured bacterium
Lineage: Bacteria
Description: partial 16S ribosomal RNA
Rfam family: Bacterial small subunit ribosomal RNA
Source: RNAcentral
GACGAACGCUGGCGGCGUGCUUAACACAUGCAAGUCGAACGGAAAGGCCCUGCUUUUGUGGGGUGCUCGAGUGGCGAACGGGUGAGUAACACGUGAGUAACCUGCCCUUGACUUUGGGAUAACUUCAGGAAGCUGGGGCUAAUACCGGAUAGGAGCUCCUGCUGCAUGGUGGGGGUUGGAAAGUUUCGGCGGUUGGGGAUGGACUCGCGGCUUAUCAGCUUGUUGGUGGGGUAGUGGCCUACCAAGGCUUUGACGGGUAGCCGGCCUGAGAGGGUGACCGGCCACAUUGGGACUGAGAUACGGCCCAGACUCCUACGGGAGGCAGCAGUGGGGAAUAUUGCACAAUGGGCGGAAGCCUGAUGCAGCAACGCCGCGUGCGGGAUGACGGCCUUCGGGUUGUAAACCGCUUUCGCCUGUGACGAAGCGUGAGUGACGGUAAUGGGUAAAGAAGCACCGGCUAACUACGUG